Molecule: ribosomal RNA, 468 nt
Filed under: uncultured bacterium
Lineage: Bacteria
Description: partial 16S ribosomal RNA
Rfam family: Bacterial small subunit ribosomal RNA
Source: RNAcentral
GACGAACGCUGGCGGCGUGCUUAACACAUGCAAGUCGAACGGAAAGGCUCCAGCUUGCUGGAGUACUCGAGUGGCGAACGGGUGAGUAACACGUGGGUGAUCUGCCCUGCACUUCGGGAUAAGCCUGGGAAACUGGGUCUAAUACCGGAUAGGACCGCACUUUGGUGUGUGUGGUGGAAAGGUUUUUCUGGUGUGGGAUGAGCUCGCGGACUAUCAGUUUGUUGGUGGGGUGAUGGCCUACCAAGACGGCGACGGGUAGCCGGCCUGAGAGGGUGGACGGUCACAUUGGGACUUAGAGACGGCCCAGACGCCUACGGGAGGCAGCAGGGGGGAAGAUUGCACCAUGGGGGACACCCGGAUGCAGCGACGCCGCGGGGGGGAUGAAGGCCUUCGGGUUGUAAACGCCUUUCGCUAGGGACGAAGCUUUUUGUGACGGUACCUGGAGAAGAAGCACCGGCUAACUACGUG